This 742-nucleotide ribosomal RNA is filed under the name Bacillus subtilis. Its description in RNAcentral is "bacterial SSU rRNA". It matches the Rfam family "Bacterial small subunit ribosomal RNA", at positions 61 to 786 of the family's 1533-position model. The record is from RNAcentral. Lineage: Bacteria; Bacillati; Bacillota; Bacilli; Caryophanales; Bacillaceae.
GUCGAGCGGACAGAUGGGAGCUUGCUCCCUGAUGUUAGCGGCGGACGGGUGAGUAACACGUGGGUAACCUGCCUGUAAGACUGGGAUAACUCCGGGAAACCGGGGCUAAUACCGGAUGCUUGUUUGAACCGCAUGGUUCAAACAUAAAAGGUGGCUUCGGCUACCACUUACAGAUGGACCCGCGGCGCAUUAGCUAGUUGGUGAGGUAAUGGCUCACCAAGGCAACGAUGCGUAGCCGACCUGAGAGGGUGAUCGGCCACACUGGGACUGAGACACGGCCCAGACUCCUACGGGAGGCAGCAGUAGGGAAUCUUCCGCAAUGGACGAAAGUCUGACGGAGCAACGCCGCGUGAGUGAUGAAGGUUUUCGGAUCGUAAAGCUCUGUUGUUAGGGAAGAACAAGUACCGUUCGAAUAGGGCGGUACCUUGACGGUACCUAACCAGAAAGCCACGGCUAACUACGUGCCAGCAGCCGCGGUAAUACGUAGGUGGCAAGCGUUGUCCGGAAUUAUUGGGCGUAAAGGGCUCGCAGGCGGUUCCUUAAGUCUGAUGUGAAAGCCCCCGGCUCAACCGGGGAGGGUCAUUGGAAACUGGGGAACUUGAGUGCAGAAGAGGAGAGUGGAAUUCCACGUGUAGCGGUGAAAUGCGUAGAGAUGUGGAGGAACACCAGUGGCGAAGCGACUCUCUGGUCUGUAACUGACGCUGAGGAGCGAAAGCGUGGGGAGCGAACAGGAUUAGAUACC